UUUUAAGUGUAUUAUAACCAGAAGUGCAACUCAACGUUAGUACGCAUUAAUUCUAUGCUUCUUCUUGUUGGAUACCGUACGGAUCUCUGCAGAGCAUUUUGAGGAGAAAGACGCCGGCAUUUUCAUUUUAACAAGAAUGUUCUGGAACUUGAAAAAUCAGACUUGGAGAAACAUUUUCAAGUCUGAGAUGAACUAUGAUAAUCCUUAAAAAAAAAAGCGGUUGGUUACUAAAUGCCGCGGCAUGUGUUAGUUGCAUAUUACUUUCUGUUGGAUAAAUGGACGCUGCAGCUCACAGAAAAAGACUAAGAAAUCUCUAAGGAGCCCUUUAUACCCAGUUCAAAUCAAUAUAUGGUUGUAUCAUUAGCAAUAGUUUAUGGUACUUGGUGUUAAAUGAAGGCUCAUAUUGAGAUACGAAAGGUUUCAGAAUGCAGUAGCUCCUAAAUCUGCGAUGUGAACCAACGCGAUGUUCAAUUUCAAUUACUUUAGAAGGAUUGGAAAUUAUUUCACAAAACGCCUGAAUCCUGCCCAAGAAAGUUACCAAUGUUGAGUAGCUCGUACGUCACUUAUUCGACAUCAUGCCAUGCUUAAAUGGAAUCUUGCUAAAUACAAGCCUUUCCUGAGCCUGUGGACCUUCAUGGUACAAUCAACCUGGACCUCAACACCAGCAUAGUUAGUUCGAAUGUCAACUUUGUCCACGCCUCUCUGAAAAAUGGUGAUUGUUCUGGGUGAUGUACUUUUAUUUCAAAUAUUUUAAGUUUAUAAAAUAUUUCACAAAUUUAUGGAGCUAGAUCACCAACCUUGCAUCAAGGUUUCUAAAAUAGUACUCGGAAACUAAAUUUCUUUAUCAAACUUUGUGUAUGGGCAGAUCAUCUGAUUCAUUUCUACCUUAAGAUAAUUUGUUUCUAUUAAAAAGCUUCCUUUAUUGUAUAAACUUCCGUGCAAUUCAAAUUUUUAUAAUUCAAGACAGACGAUUCUGCAAACAAAGUUCAAAGCUGAAACCUGGCAUAAUCCCUCGCUUACAUGGAAAUUCUAGUUUUAGAUAUGAAUUGAACAAAUAUAACAACAUUUCCAGUAUUGCAUAAAAUACCAAAAAAUAUGCAAAAAUUUCUAGUGUAGUAAAAGGAGUUCAAAUGGUAACUUUGAUAUUUUGGCAUCAAGUGCAUCUUACUUUCACCCGAGUAGAAUGUUUCAAAUUAUUUCAAUGUCCAUUGCCUAUUGUGGUCCUUGUCUAUUUUCUAUCUGAGAAACAUUUAAGUUUGUGCACUGCAUUUCAUAAUAAACUUAUACGUAUAACAAAAUACAUUAAAGUGGAUGUAAAAAUUAGAUUCAGUUUUCUCGCAGGUUGAGAAAACCAGUUGGAAUUUGGUCGAAUUCUAUGGAAAUCUAUCAUUAAUUUGGGUUCAAUAAAAGCAAGUAGAAAUAAAGUCAAUCAGUGCAACUAAUUAUUCUAUUUCAGCCAUGAAUAUUUGGAUAAUAUUACGCGAAUCGUCAUAAUUCGAUGUCCUAGAAACUUAGCUAAAGCCAAUUGUAUGAGUUAUUUACUUCAAAGUUAUUGUUCACUGGUAAAAACCGCAAGUCAUUAAACUUUCGGUUAAAAUUCAUGUAGAUAAAAGCUUAACUUUGGAAUUCCUAAAAAUGAUGAUUAAAAUUUCAGUUUAUAGGCUCAUUUUUUAUUGCUAGUGUUAAUUUCAAUCAA
This is a long non-coding RNA of Argiope bruennichi, 1696 nucleotides long. RefSeq lists it as uncharacterized. The record is from RefSeq and is a predicted model, not a curated record. NCBI's taxonomy places the organism in Eukaryota, Metazoa, Arthropoda, Arachnida, Araneae, Araneidae. The transcript is spliced from 3 exons.